Molecule: long non-coding RNA, 1483 nt
Organism: Coffea arabica (coffee)
Lineage: Eukaryota; Viridiplantae; Streptophyta; Magnoliopsida; Gentianales; Rubiaceae
Source: RefSeq, a predicted model, not a curated record
UCCAAAACCACUCUAUUUCCUUUUGUCUCAUCUCCAUUCCUUCCAUGGAUUUCCUCCAUUUUUUUCUCUGAAAAAAAGAAAAGAAACAGACUAACAGCGCACCGUUUCUAUUCUUCCUUUCUUCUUCAUUUUUCCCCUCUUUUAAAGAUUAUUCGAAAAAAUGACGCUCAAAACCCACCUUUUAUUCUCUCUCUUUUUUUUUUCUCUUUUUGUCUCCUUAUCCUGAGAUAGGAGAACCUCGAAGAUUUGGUCGAUCUUGAUUGCUCAACUGCUCACAUUUGGAUUUUCUUUUUCUGUUUCUGAUCUCCAUCCCUUUUCCUCAUAAACCUAUGAUUUUUUUCCCUCUCUCUACACAGAAAAAUUUCUAUUUUUUCUAAAUUAUUUUUCUCUUUAUUGGGAUAUGAUUACCUUGGAGAUCUUUCUUAUCUGAUCUAUUUUCGAUCCGCUGAUCUCGCCAUUUUUUAGUUUAAAAAUUUUCCUUUAUUUUGACCGAUUUUCUUUAUUCUCUAAUCAAUUUCAUGUUUGUUUCAGGGUGCAGGUUUAAGGUUUGCAUUUUGUUAUCUGGUAUCUUCAAUCACUACAGAACCCGUCAGGUAAAAAAAACAUAAGGAAGGCCACUGAAGGAGGAAUUAUAGUUCUCUUUGUGAACUUUUUACCCUUUCUUCCAUAUUUUUCUUGCACGAUGAGGUGAAAUAGUUACAAGCUAUCAGAAUAUAUCACUUCAAGAGGUGGAAACGUUUUCAAUUCUGAUAUUUUUGUACCUGAGCACAAGAAUGUAUAGAAGGAAGGAAGAUGACAGCACCUACCUUUCAUUCUUUUCUGUUCUGUAGAGGUGGAGAGCUUAAAUGGAGAAAGUGGAUCAAACUUGGCAUCAGGAAUUUAGCAAAGGAGCAACAAAAGAAGAAGGACCAAAAACAAAUGAGGGAUGCUAAAGUUACAUGGAUCCGCGGGUGGAUCCACAGCGAUCCGCGGGUGAAUCCAUGUCCUACGCUGAUCAUUUGUUUGGACUUCACGCCAGAUUUCGUCUGAUUCUUUUAUGUUUCGACCUUGGCCCAAUGUCCACACCAGAUUUUGGCCGGUCUUCAUGGGAAAAUGCAUAAAAAUGUGAUUUUUCAAUUCCAAUAAAACCUAAUCCUACCCAAAUUAGAAUAUAUUUUGAAGAAACUAUAAAUAAGGGCAUUCUAGGUCGCUUUUAGCUUAGAAAACAUUGGGGUAAAGUUUAUACAAGAAAUUUAGCCUUGUGUGACAACAUUCUUAGUGACAACAAAGAAACUUGUCACAAUUGAGUAAAUUUAGUGACGGCUUUUGAUGUUAUCAUAGUUGAUCAAGGGUAGACUCGUCACUAGUGAUAACACGGGGUUAGUCGUCACAAUAUGUGUGGCGCACAACUGGCCGGUGUGGUGGGAAAUCACCAUUGUGAUAACUUGAAAAAACAUUGUCAUUGAAAUGGACCCUACAGUGACAACUUACAAUGUCGUUACAA